CAGUCGCCGCGGUAAUACGGAGGGCGCGAGCGUUACCCGGAUUUACUGGGCGUAAAGGGCGUGUAGGCGGCCUGGGGCGUCCCAUGUGAAAGGCCACGGCUCAACCGUGGAGGAGCGUGGGAUACGCUCAGGCUAGAGGGUGGGAGAGGGUGGUGGAAUUCCCGGAGUAGCGGUGAAAUGCGCAGAUACCGGGAGGAACGCCGAUGGCGAAGGCAGCCACCUGGUCCACUUCUGACGCUGAGGCGCGAGAGCGUGGGGAGCAAACCGGAUUAGAUACCCCGGUAGUCCCUGUCUCUUAUAC
Molecule: ribosomal RNA, 301 nt
Filed under: uncultured bacterium
Lineage: Bacteria
Description: partial 16S ribosomal RNA
Rfam family: Bacterial small subunit ribosomal RNA
Source: RNAcentral